AGCAGCCGCGGUAAUUCCAGCUCCAAUAGCGUAUAUUAAAGUUGUUGCAGUUAAAAAGCUCGUAGUUGAAUUUCGGGAUUAGUACGUUGGUCGUGCCUUCGGUACGUACUGGUGUUACUGAUUCCUACCUUCUGACGAACCAUCAUGUCAUUAAUUUGGUGUGGUGGGGAGUCAGGACUGUUACUUUGAAAAAUUAGAGUGUUUAAAGCAGGCUCGCGCUUGAAUACAUUAGCAUGGAAUAAUGAAAUAGGACGUUGACCCUAUUUUGUUGGUUUCUAGGAUUGACGUAAUGAUUAAUAGGGAUAGUUGGGGGCAUUAGUAUUCAAUUGUCAGAGGUGAAAUUCUUGGAUUUAUUUAAGACUAACUACUGCGAAAGCAUUUGCCAAGGAUGUUUUCAUUAAUCAAGAACGAAAGUUAGGGGAUCGAAGACGAUCAGAUACCGUCGUAGUCUUAACCAUAAACUAUGCCGACUAGGGAUCGGAUGAUGUUAUUUUUAAUGUACUCAUUCGGCGCCUUACGG
RNAcentral lists this ribosomal RNA (520 nucleotides) under uncultured Glomus. RNAcentral describes it as "SSU rRNA". It matches the Rfam family "Eukaryotic small subunit ribosomal RNA", at positions 569 to 1093 of the family's 1831-position model. The record is from RNAcentral. Lineage: Eukaryota; Fungi; Glomeromycota; Glomeromycetes; Glomerales; Glomeraceae.